Molecule: ribosomal RNA, 484 nt
Filed under: uncultured bacterium
Lineage: Bacteria
Description: partial 16S ribosomal RNA
Rfam family: Bacterial small subunit ribosomal RNA
Source: RNAcentral
AUUGAACGCUGGCGGCAGGCCUAACACAUGCAAGUCGAGCGGAUGAAGGGAGCUUGCUCCUGGACUCAGCGGCGGACGGGUGAGUAAUGCCUAGGAAUCUGCCUGGUAGUGGGGGAUAACGUCCGGAAACGGGCGCUAAUACCGCAUACGUCCUGAGGGAGAAAGUGGGGGAUCUUCGGACCUCACGCUAUCAGAUGAGCCUAGGUCGGAUUAGCUAGUUGGUGGGGUAAAGGCCUACCAAGGCGACGAUCCGUAACUGGUCUGAGAGGAUGAUCAGUUACACUGGAACUGAGACACGGUCCAGACUCCUACGGGAGGCAGCAGUGGGGAAUAUUGGACAAUGGGCGAAAGCCUGAUCCAGCCAUGCCGCGUGUGUGAAGAAGGUCUUCGGAUUGUAAAGCACUUUAAGUUGGGAGGAAGGGCAGUAAGUUAAUACCUUGCUGUUUUGACGUUACCAACAGAAUAAGCACCGGCUAACUUCGUG